GGAUGUGAGGGCGAUCUGGCCCCACCUGUUGCCAGGGUUGAUUUGGCUGAUCUGCUGGCUAGGCGGGUGUUCCCUUCCUGCCGCACCACUCCAGGUGCGUCUCUCCCAAAGCUGUGCGCUCUGGUGAAGAGGACGACCACCCCCGAUAGAGGAGGACCAUUUCCUCGGUCAAGGGUGUACAGUAGCUGUGCUCCCCUGCUACAACCUCCAAACAAGCUCUCAAAACUUGUAGGAGAACAAGUUUAAUUUUACACACAUUUUAAGGGGAUUCAGCUCAUGGUCACCU
Fukomys damarensis (Damara mole-rat) is the source of this 286-nucleotide unclassified non-coding RNA. Its record names the gene 7SK. It matches the Rfam family "7SK RNA". Rfam says of the family: 7SK was discovered as an abundant small nuclear RNA in the mid-70s but a possible function has only recently been suggested. Two independent studies have found that 7SK RNA binds the CDK9/cyclin T complex (known as elongation factor P-TEFb). The record is from Ensembl. Lineage: Eukaryota; Metazoa; Chordata; Mammalia; Rodentia; Bathyergidae.